GUCAGCAUGGUUCAGUGGUUUGAGUGUUGGGCUACGUAUCUGGAGACCAAGGUUUGAAUCCGUGUUCUGCUA
Molecule: non-coding RNA, 72 nt
Organism: Phrynosoma platyrhinos (Desert horned lizard)
Lineage: Eukaryota; Metazoa; Chordata; Lepidosauria; Squamata; Phrynosomatidae
Source: the annotation of a GenBank genome assembly